GAUCGCGACUCUUAACUCAAGUACCCUUGUAGCUUACGGGCCUAACAAGUUUUUCGAGUUCGGGUCGGCUCGGGUCAUAAGAUUGGAAACCCAAGGUUCUCCUAAAAAUCAAAUGGAUCGGGUCGGAUCGGGUCCGAAUUUAGUAAACCCAAAUCCGAUCUGAAAAAUUAAAUGGGUCCAAUCUUAGAAUCCGACCAGCCCCACAGGUUCUUUAACAUGGGUUGGCUCAAGUCUAAGCGAGUUGGGUUGGAUUGGGUCACGAGACAACCCAACCCAUUUGCAUCCUUAGCUGGAGACGAGCUGAGUGGCUGGUUGAGGCGUCC
RNAcentral lists this long non-coding RNA (323 nucleotides) under Phoenix dactylifera (date palm). RNAcentral's name for it is "long non-coding RNA (PDAC_LNC006178)". Lineage: Eukaryota; Viridiplantae; Streptophyta; Magnoliopsida; Arecales; Arecaceae. The record is from RNAcentral.